RNAcentral lists this ribosomal RNA (492 nucleotides) under uncultured bacterium. RNAcentral's name for it is "partial 16S ribosomal RNA". It matches the Rfam family "Bacterial small subunit ribosomal RNA", at positions 29 to 507 of the family's 1533-position model. The record is from RNAcentral.
AGUGAACGCUGGCGGUAGGCCUAACACAUGCAAGUCGAACGGCAGCACAGUAAGAGCUUGCUCUUACGGGUGGCGAGUGGCGGACGGGUGAGGAAUACAUCGGAAUCUACUUUUUCGUGGGGGAUAACGUAGGGAAACUUACGCUAAUACCGCAUACGACCUACGGGUGAAAGCAGGGGAUCUUCGGACCUUGCGCGAUUGAAUGAGCCGAUGUCGGAUUAGCUAGUUGGCGGGGUAAAGGCCCACCAAGGCGACGAUCCGUAGCUGGUCUGAGAGGAUGAUCAGCCACACUGGAACUGAGACACGGUCCAGACUCCUACGGGAGGCAGCAGUGGGGAAUAUUGGAGAAUGGGCGCAAGCCUGAUCCAGCCAUACCGCGUGGGUGAAGAAGGCCUUCGGGUUGUAAAGCCCUUUUGUUGGGAAAGAAAAGCAGCAGGUUAAUACCUCGCUGUUCUGACGGUACCCAAAGAAUAAGCACCGGCUAACUUCGUG